UAGCUCAGUUGGGAGAGCACCUCCCUUACAAGGAGGGGGUCACUGGUUCGAGACCGGU
Molecule: transfer RNA, 58 nt
Filed under: Pasteurella multocida
Lineage: Bacteria; Pseudomonadati; Pseudomonadota; Gammaproteobacteria; Pasteurellales; Pasteurellaceae
Description: tRNA-Val
Rfam family: tRNA
About the family: Transfer RNA (tRNA) molecules are approximately 80 nucleotides in length. Their secondary structure includes four short double-helical elements and three loops (D, anti-codon, and T loops).
Source: RNAcentral